Molecule: unclassified non-coding RNA, 297 nt
Filed under: Sipha flava (yellow sugarcane aphid)
Lineage: Eukaryota; Metazoa; Arthropoda; Insecta; Hemiptera; Aphididae
Description: dynein light chain 4, axonemal-like, transcript variant X1
Source: RNAcentral
CCUACGAAGAUUUAUAGUACAGGUGUUUUCGAUUACUCAUAACUUUUUCACUUGCAAUAUUAUUUAACUACAUUUGUUCGUGGUAUUUUUCCAGCAUUCGACCAGAUAAACCAGGUCGCACGGUGUCUACUCCGAGCGUUGUCCAAGCUUAUCAAAAUAUCGAUGGACAAGAAUCACGGAUCGAUGUGGCAUGUCGUCGUCGGAGAGAAUUUCAGUGUAGAGUUGGAAUAUGAACCUGGUACGUUGAUGUCCUUGUGCUACGGCGGAACACUCGCGAUUUGUAUUUGGCGAACUUGA